RNAcentral lists this non-coding RNA (20 nucleotides) under Rattus norvegicus (Norway rat). The record is from RNAcentral. Lineage: Eukaryota; Metazoa; Chordata; Mammalia; Rodentia; Muridae.
CCUUCUGUGCCUGGCUUAUU